This 484-nucleotide ribosomal RNA is filed under the name uncultured bacterium. Its description in RNAcentral is "partial 16S ribosomal RNA". It matches the Rfam family "Bacterial small subunit ribosomal RNA", at positions 29 to 507 of the family's 1533-position model. The record is from RNAcentral.
AUUGAACGCUGGCGGCAUGCUUUACACAUGCAAGUCGAACGGCAGCGCGGGCUUCGGCCUGGCGGCGAGUGGCGAACGGGUGAGUAAUACAUCGGAACGUGCCCAGUAGUGGGGGAUAGCUCGGCGAAAGCCGGAUUAAUACCGCAUACGACCUGAGGGUGAAAGCGGGGGAUCUUCGGACCUCGCGCUAUUGGAGCGGCCGGUGGCAGAUUAGCUAGUUGGUGGGGUAAAGGCCUACCAAGGCGACCAUCUGUAGCUGGUCUGAGAGGACGACCAGCCACACUGGGACUGAGACACGGCCCAGACUCCUACGGGAGGCAGCAGUGGGGAAUUUUGGACAAUGGGCGAAAGCCUGAUCCAGCAAUGCCGCGUGUGUGAUGAAGGCCUUCGGGUUGUAAAGCACUUUUGGCGGGAACGAAAAGGACUGUGCCAAUACCACGGUUCGAUGACGGUACCCGCAGAAUAAGCACCGGCUAACUACGUG